Molecule: RNA transcript, 1286 nt
Organism: Abrus precatorius (Indian licorice)
Lineage: Eukaryota; Viridiplantae; Streptophyta; Magnoliopsida; Fabales; Fabaceae
Gene name: syntaxin-52-like
Exons: 7
Source: RefSeq, a predicted model, not a curated record
CAGCUCGUAAAUCUAAGUUCUACCUUUCCAACUGUCAGAGAUACAAGAAUAACCCGCGUUACUAAAACGACGCCGCGCUCAACAACGAUUCUUUUGUAGACGACGACGGUGUCAGACAAACGGUGCCGGUUGGUCAUUGUCGCAAUUGCGCUAAUCUCCACAUACAGCGCGUCGUUUGGUCACCUCAUCGGAAACCCUCCUUCCUCUCAAUUCCCAAACCCUAAUUUAGAAAUAAAUAGCCCUUAUUUUCAGGCCAAUGGCAUCUUCUUCAGACGCAUGGAUGAAGGAAUAUAAUGAAGCAGUGAAACUUGCUGACGACAUCAAUGGCAUGAUUUCUGAGCGGAGUUCACUCCCUGCAUCUGGACCAGAAACCCAGCGUCAUGCAUCUGCUAUAAGAAGGAAGAUCACAAUAUUAGGGACCAGACUUGAUAGCUUGCAAUCUCUUCUGUCAAAGGUCCCUGCAAAAACUGAGAAGGAGAUGAAUCGUCGCAAGGACAUGCUUGGAAAUUUGAGGACGAAAGUUAAUCAAAUGGCUUCAACAUUGAACAUGUCAAAUUUUGCAAAUAGGGAUAGUUUGUUUGGGCCAGAAAUAAAGCCAGAUGCAAUGAGCAGAACUGUUGGCCUGGACAACAGUGGACUUGUUGGUCUUCAACGGCAAAUUAUGAAAGAGCAAGACGAUGGCCUUGAGAAAUUGGAGGAGACUGUAAUCAGUACAAAACAUAUUGCAUUGGCAGUGAAUGAAGAGCUGGAUCUACACACCAGACUCAUUGAUGACUUGGAUCAACACGUAGAUGUUACAGAUUCUCGGCUAAGGGAUAAACAGUUCGUGAGAAACUUUAAAAUUUAUGGAUGAGAUAUAAAGCAGAACUAGAUGAUAAUAAAUUAUGGAACAUUAGUGGAUGCCCUUGCAAGAGAACAUCGAGUGCAGAAGAACUUGGCAAUUUUAAACAAACGUACUAAGGGUGGUUGCUCCUGCUUGUGCCUGCUUUUAUCAGUGAUUGGUAUAGUGGUUUUGGUUGUUGUCAUAUGGCUGUUGGUCAAAUAUUUGUAAUGAUUAAAAAAUACCCAACACAAGAAGUUUCUCUUUUUCAUGUUUCUGAAUGUGUGCAUUGAAACAUGAUAACCGUGUUUCUUUGAUUUUCCUUUGUGCUCUGGCAAUGACAUGGAAUUUAUUAAGGUAUUGAAAGGCUUUGAUAUGUAAUUGUCAAAUUUCAUGUGUUGAUGAUACCUUUGAGUGUUCUCUUGUAAAAGUCAUGAAGUUGAAGUGACUUCCAAUAACUACUUUA